Drosophila miranda is the source of this 514-nucleotide long non-coding RNA. RefSeq lists it as uncharacterized. NCBI's taxonomy places the organism in Eukaryota, Metazoa, Arthropoda, Insecta, Diptera, Drosophilidae. The record is from RefSeq and is a predicted model, not a curated record. The transcript has 3 exons.
AAAAUUAUCAGUAUUAUUCGGUGUGGAGGGCUGGAACAAGCAACACAAAAAUUCUAAAUUUUCCAAGUUUUAUUCGGUUUAAAUUUUGACUAGAGAUUAAGAAUAAAGUGAAAUUAUGUUUAAGCUAAUUUAAGAAAAAAGUGAAAAACAAAAACACAAACAGAACCAAACAAAAAAAGACAGUGAAAAGAAAACAAAAGAGCCGCCUCCGUCCCUAAGGCUAUACUUAGGUCUCUGUAGACAACACAAACCAACCAACAGUGGCUGCUGCAUAUUCUGUAAGACCGAUUUCCAAUUACACCCGAAUCAAUAGAAUAACAACUAAAAGGCUUGUGCGAUUCAGCGUGGUGCUACUCUGAUGUCUCCGUCGUUGUCCAAUCAACGACGGCGAUGCUCUUCACUCACUUAACACACUUUUGCUGAACUGACAGCAGACUGGCUUGUAUAUUAAUGAAUGAACCCUACAAAUCAUACAUAUUUUUUGAUAAUUACACAUAUUCUAUUUUGAUACUAA